Molecule: long non-coding RNA, 901 nt
Organism: Onychostoma macrolepis
Lineage: Eukaryota; Metazoa; Chordata; Actinopteri; Cypriniformes; Cyprinidae
Exons: 6
Source: RefSeq, a predicted model, not a curated record
CCCGACUGCAAGCGGCUGCUCUCGCCGAUAGGUCUGUGCGGCGCCGCAUGAAGUCGAACACACCUGGACUCUUUCUGUUCCCGGUAGUGAUGCUCUCGCGGUGUUUGGAUUAAAGAUAUUUUCUCCCUGUGUCCGCGUGGGUUUCCUCCCACAGCCUAAAGACAGACUUCAAGUUCCACAAGCGUUCGUUUGACCAGCAGAUGUCCUCCUCGUGCUGUGGUUCGGCUCCAAACAGCUGUUCUGACAUUCCUGUCAGAAUGAUGUAGUUCUGCACAGGCCCCUCCCACGAUAGUUGAUUGACAAGACUGUCUUACCUUAGACCCGCCCUGAGUGAGCUGUCAUCAGUCCGCCAUGGUGUCGACUCCGGUGCAGGGGAAGACAAGAUCAUCUCAGAUUAAGCGAUUGAGGGAAUGCGCCGAUCCCCGAUCUGCCUAAAUGCGUCUAUGUUCACGCGAAGCAUUCAUGAUCCAGCUUCAUCUACAGAAGAAUAUCCAGUGGAUGAUCGAAGGGCACAAGAAGAAUCUGGAGGGGCACAAGGAGAAUCUGGCCCCCCCUUAGACCCGGCCCUGGCUGAGAUGUGGACUGCCACUAACCUGCCACACAUGACUAUAUCAGUUUAUAUGUGUUAUUCCAAAUAAAAGCCAAAUGUUAACCAUAAGUUAACACAUUACAUGGUGUGCCAUUGCCAAGCCAUAUAUGGCUCUCAUUUGUGUGCUGUCAUCUGGACCAUAUACCUCAAAACAUAUUGUCAUCUUAAAGAAAAUUCCCUCCAAUUCUGAAGCUAUGGCAACACAUAUGGGGAAAGUUUGGCCCAUAUGUUCUCAGCCAUACCUAGGCCAAAUGUGAUAGCUAUCAGCCACAUUUGGCCCAAACGUUCUUGCUAACUCAGCUUGUGGAAAAU